Molecule: small nuclear RNA, 163 nt
Organism: Pongo abelii (Sumatran orangutan)
Lineage: Eukaryota; Metazoa; Chordata; Mammalia; Primates; Hominidae
Gene: U1
Rfam family: U1 spliceosomal RNA
About the family: U1 is a small nuclear RNA (snRNA) component of the spliceosome (involved in pre-mRNA splicing). Its 5' end forms complementary base pairs with the 5' splice junction, thus defining the 5' donor site of an intron.
Source: Ensembl
AUUCUUACCUGGCAGGAAAAAUGCCAUGAUCACGAAGAUGGUUUUUCCAGGCGAGGCUUAGCAACUUUACUCGGGAUGUGCUGACCUCUGCGAUUUCCCGAAAUGUGGGAAUCUUGACUACAUAAUUUGUAGCAGUGGGGAACUGUGUUUGCGCUUUCCCCUG